AUUGAACGCUGGCGGCAGGCCUAACACGUGCAAGUCGAGCGGAUGAAGGGAGCUUGCUCCUGGAUUCAGCGGCGGACGGGUGAGUAAUGCCUAGGAAUCUGCCUGGUAGUGGGGGAUAACGUCCGGAAACGGGCGCUAAUACCGCAUACGUCCUGAGGGAGAAAGUGGGGGAUCUUCGGACCUCACGCUAUCAGAUGAGCCUAGGUCGGAUUAGCUAGUUGGUGGGGUAAAGGCCUACCAAGGCGACGAUCCGUAACUGGUCUGAGAGGAUGAUCAGUCACACUGGAACUGAGACACGGUCCAGACUCCUACGGGAGGCAGCAGUGGGGAAUAUUGGACAAUGGGCGAAAGCCUGAUCCAGCCAUGCCGCGUGUGUGAAGAAGGUCUUCGGAUUGUAAAGCACUUUAAGUUGGGAGGAAGGGCAGUAAGUUAAUACCUUGCUGUUUUGACGUUACUAACAGAAUAAGCACCGGCUAACUUCGU
RNAcentral lists this ribosomal RNA (483 nucleotides) under uncultured bacterium. Its description in RNAcentral is "partial 16S ribosomal RNA". It matches the Rfam family "Bacterial small subunit ribosomal RNA", at positions 30 to 506 of the family's 1533-position model. The record is from RNAcentral.